RNAcentral lists this transfer RNA (70 nucleotides) under Heliconius melpomene (postman butterfly). Its description in RNAcentral is "tRNA HMEL012708". It matches the Rfam family "tRNA". Rfam says of the family: Transfer RNA (tRNA) molecules are approximately 80 nucleotides in length. Their secondary structure includes four short double-helical elements and three loops (D, anti-codon, and T loops). Lineage: Eukaryota; Metazoa; Arthropoda; Insecta; Lepidoptera; Nymphalidae. The record is from RNAcentral.
GAACGUAUAGCUUAGUGGUCAGACGCUUAGACUUUUCUAAGAGGCGCGGGUUCAAAUCCCGCUACGUUAA